RNAcentral lists this long non-coding RNA (214 nucleotides) under Elaeis guineensis (African oil palm). RNAcentral's name for it is "long non-coding RNA (EGUI_LNC001867)". Lineage: Eukaryota; Viridiplantae; Streptophyta; Magnoliopsida; Arecales; Arecaceae. The record is from RNAcentral.
GAUUGGGACAAGGGUCAUUCUGGAUAACUUCGAGAUAUUUUAUUUUCUAAUUCCCUUGAUUGUAUUCGUACAAGUUUUGUUUGAAUAAAUUGUCUCACAAAAAAAAAGUAACACAAUUCCAAAAUGCCCCUGACUAUCGGCUUAUGUCCUGCCAAAUUGGAGAGAGAAUUAUAAGGUUCUUCUUAGCUCUCAUCCCAAAUUUCUUUCUUGAAUA